Molecule: long non-coding RNA, 1005 nt
Organism: Scylla paramamosain (green mud crab)
Lineage: Eukaryota; Metazoa; Arthropoda; Malacostraca; Decapoda; Portunidae
Exons: 6
Source: RefSeq, a predicted model, not a curated record
ACACCACCUAACAGUCAUGAUAGUCCCUUCUCUUGGUAGUGACAUGAUGUAGAGAUCUCUGUGCCAUAAUUAUGGAGAGAGCGUGUUUAUAUUCCAUAGACACGCAUAGAAAGACGGCGCCAUUGCCAUCAGCUGAUGAGGCCCCAGACCGAGACCCAAACAUUCUCUCCAGUGCGGUUCCUGCAGCCUGUGUGAUGUGAUUAUUCAUAUUUUUGCCUACCUACACACCUGGCCGGCACUCCCACAGCGUGUAUAGAGACUCAGAACCAAAUGUGGAUGAAGUGGAGAGAAUCCAUUCAAAUUUACAGCAGAUGGAUAGAUUCCUUGGCCCUUAUCCACAUGAGUCCUGGAAGAAGUGGAUCUCUCUCACUCAGCACAUGGAGGAGACAGAACUGAAGUGGAUGAUCCCGCUGUCAGCUCCCAGAAAUGAAGCCGAGGGAAGGGACUAUAUUUUGUUUCACCCAGCCCCCCACCAGAACCUACAGAGAGGGGGCUAGUGAAGUCAGAAUAUAGUCUUUACUCUUCCUACAGUUUGAAGUUGAUUGGUAUGGCCGGACAGCUUAGUGGCAGAGCUCCAGGUGGCCUUCGUCAGCUUCUUGGUGGCACAGGUGUGGGAUGGCUGGGACCAGUGGAGGUGUGUGGAGGAGCAUCUGUGCCAGGCAGAGAUCCCUGAAGACCUAUUCAUCAACAUUGUAGUCCAACAACCUUCCUUGCCUCUGCACUCAACGCUCUCUUCACCAACAUCAAGGACAACUCCGCCAACCUGCCUUGGUCCUUAAGGCUCAGCACUUCAAGGACCACCUCUCUGCCAAGUUCGAGUGGGAUCUGACACUUGGGGACGAGAGAGUACACGCUGGUGGUGGUUGACUUGGUUGUGCGCGUCUCCAGCACCCUGCAGUACGUACACACACACACACAGACAGACAGACGGACAUCAUCAGAGGAAGAAAAUGCUAUGUUCUGUAAAAGUUUAUGACAUUAAGAAAAUAAAGGGUUAAGAUUCAA